Molecule: unclassified non-coding RNA, 301 nt
Filed under: Hevea brasiliensis (rubber tree)
Lineage: Eukaryota; Viridiplantae; Streptophyta; Magnoliopsida; Malpighiales; Euphorbiaceae
Source: RNAcentral
UUUGAAUUCAAUGUUCUAAUCUAACAAUUUUCAUACUUUCACUCCUUCAAUCAGUAUCAAAGCCACUAUAUUUGCCAUUGUUUAAUAUCUGAUUUAAUUGUGUAAUUUGAUCAAAAGUUGAUUGAUUCAUUGCUGGUUGCAUAGAAUAUUGUGGCGGUAUCAUGUUUGUGCUUCAUAGUGCGCAUGGUUUUAGCACCACAAUGGUGCGCAAGGUAUAUGGGCUUUGAAUGUGCAAUUGUUGUAUGAUCUAAGGCCCAUCCCAUGACUAAUUAAAAUAUUUAAUUAGGAGUUUUAAUCACAC